GAAACGACUGCUAAGACUGGAUAGGAGACAAGAAGGCAUCUUUUUGUUUUUAAAAGNCCUAGCAAUAGGUAUGCUUAGGGAGGAGCUUGCGUCACAUUAGUUAGUUGGUGGGGUAAAGGCUUACCAAGACUAUGAUGUNUAGCCGGGCUGAGAGGUUGAACGGCCACNUUGGGACUGAGACACGGCCCAAACUCCUACGGGAGGCAGCAGUAGGGAAUUUUCGGCAAUGGAGGAAACUCUGACCGAGCAACGCCGCGUGAACGAUGAAGUAUUUCGGUACGUAAAGUUCUUUUAUUAGGGAAGAAUAAAUGAUGGAAAAAUCAUUCUGACGGUACCUAAUGAAUAAGCCCCGGCUAACUAUGUGCCAGCAGCCGCGGUAAUACAUAGGGGGCAAGCGUUAUCCGGAAUUAUUGGGCGUAAAGGGUGCGUAGGCGGUUAAAUAAGUUUAUGGUCUAAGUGCAAUGCUUAACAUUGUGAUGCUAUAAAAACUGUUUAGCUAGAGUAAGAUAGAGGCAAGUGGAAUUCCAUGUGUAGUGGUAAAAUGCGUAAAUAUAUGGAGGAACACCAGUAGCGAAGGCGGCUUGCUGGGUCUUUACUGACGCUGAGGCACGAAAGCGUGGGGAGCAAACAGGAUUAGAUACCCUGGUAGUCCACGCCGUAAACGAUGAGUACUAAAUGUUGGGUAAAACCAGUGUUGAAGUUAACACAUUAAGUACUCCGCCUGAGUAGUACGUACGCAAGUAUGAAACUUAAAGGAAUUGACGGGACUCCGCACAAGCGGUGGAUCAUGUUGUUUAAUUCGAAGGUACCCGAAAAACCUCACCAGGUCUUGACAUGCUUCUGCAAAGCUGUAGAAACACAGUGGAGGUUAUCAGUUGCACAGGUGGUGCAUGGUUGUCGUCAGCUCGUGUCGUGAGAUGUUGGGUUAAGUCCCGCAACGAGCGCAACCCUUAUUGUUAGUUGCCAGCACGUAAUGGUGGGGACUUUAGCAAGACUGCCAGUGAUAAAUUGGAGGAAGGUGGGGACGACGUCAAAUCAUCAUGCCCCUUAUGACCUGGGCUACAAACGUGAUACAAUGGCUGUUACAAAGGGUAGCUGAAACGCAAGUUUUUGGCGAAUCUCAAAAAAACAGUCUCAGUUCGGAUUGAAGUCUGCAACUCGACUUCAUGAAGUUGGAAUCGCUAGUAAUCGCGAAUCAGCAUGUCGCGGUGAAUACGUUCUCGGGGUUUGUACACACCGCCCGUCA
Molecule: ribosomal RNA, 1246 nt
Filed under: 'Psammotettix sp.' phytoplasma
Lineage: Bacteria; Bacillati; Mycoplasmatota; Mollicutes; Acholeplasmatales; Acholeplasmataceae
Description: bacterial SSU rRNA
Rfam family: Bacterial small subunit ribosomal RNA
Source: RNAcentral